RNAcentral lists this ribosomal RNA (453 nucleotides) under Triticum aestivum (bread wheat). RNAcentral's name for it is "partial small subunit ribosomal RNA". Lineage: Eukaryota; Viridiplantae; Streptophyta; Magnoliopsida; Poales; Poaceae. The record is from RNAcentral.
AUGCAGGUCACUCCUCAUCUGCGCGGCGACGGCGUCUUCGGCUACGUCGACGGCACCACACCGGAGCCGGCCAGGCUUCAUGUCACCAAGGACAAGGAUGGAAAAGAAAGCUCUGAGCCCAACCCUCUCCACCCAAUCUGGGUCCGGGAGGAUCAACAGGUGUUGGGCUACUUGCUCAGCACCCUCUCCAAGGAGGUACUCAUCGCGGUGACCACGGUCACCACGGCGCACGCGCUCUGGACAAAGGUGGCAGGUAUGUUUUCCUCGCAGUCCAUGAGCCGCGUGAAUAACAUCAGGACGACGCUCAUCAACACGCAGAAGGGCAACCAGACGGUUGCCGCCUACUUCGCCUCUCUCCGUGGCCUCGCCGACGAGCUUGCAACUGCGGGGAAGGCCAUCCAAGAUGACAAACUCAUCUCCUACAUCAUCCACGGCCUCGACGUCGACUACUAG